CUGAACCAGCCAAGUAGCGUGAAGGAUGAAGGCUCUAUGGGUCGUAAACUUCUUUUAUAUAAGAAUAAAGUGCAGUAUGUAUACGGUUUUGUAUGUAUUAUAUGAAUAAGGAUCGGCUAACUCCGUGCCAGCAGCCGCGGUAAUACGGAGGAUCCGAGCGUUAUCCGGAUUUAUUGGGUUUAAAGGGAGCGUAGGUGGACUGGUAAGUCAGUUGUGAAAGUUUGCGG
Molecule: ribosomal RNA, 227 nt
Filed under: uncultured bacterium
Lineage: Bacteria
Description: partial 16S ribosomal RNA
Rfam family: Bacterial small subunit ribosomal RNA
Source: RNAcentral